AGGAAUAUUGGUCAAUGGGCGUAAUCCUGAACCAGCCAAGUAGCGUGAGGGAAGACUGCCCUAUGGGUUGUAAACCUCUUUUGUGCGGGGAUAAAGUGAGGGACGUGUCCCAUAUUGCAGGUACCGCACGAAUAAGGACCGGCUAAUUCCGUGCCAGCAGCCGCGGUAAUACGGAAGGUCCGGGCGUUAUCCGGAUUUAUUGGGUUUAAAGGGAGCGCAGGCCGUCCUUUAAGCGUGCUGUGAAAUGCCGCGGCUCAACCGUGGCACUGCAGCGCGAACUGGAGGACUUGAGUACGCACGAGGUAGGCGGAAUUCGUGGUGUAGCGGUGAAAUGCUUAGAUAUCACGAAGAACUCCGAUUGCGAAGGCAGCUUACCGGAGCGCAACUGACGCUGAGGCUCGAAAGCGCGGGUAUCGAACAGGAUUAGAUACCCUGGUAGUCCGCGCGGUAAACGAUGGAUGCCCGCCGUUGGGAUUUUGAUUUCAGCGGCCAAGCGAAAGCGUUAAGCAUCCCACCUGGGGAGUACGCCGGCAACGGUGAAACUCAAAGGAAUUGACGGGGGCCCGCACAAGCGGAGGAACAUGUGGUUUAAUUCGAUGAUACGCGAGGAACCUUACCCGGGCUUGAAUUGCAGGAGAACGAUCCAGAGAUGGUGAGGCCCUUCGGGGCUCCUGUGAAGGUGCUGCAUGGUUGUCGUCAGCUCGUGCCGUGAGGUGUCGGCUCAAGUGCCAUAACGAGCGCAACCCCUGUCCAUAGUUGCCAUCAGGUCGUGCUGGGCACUCUGUGGAGACUGCCGCCGUAAGGUGUGAGGAAGGUGGGGAUGACGUCAAAUCAGCACGGCCCUUACGUCCGGGGCUACACACGUGUUACAAUGGGGCAUACAGCGAGUUGGAUGUGCGCAAGUACGUCCGGAUCAAUAAAGUGCCUCUCAGUUCGGACUGGGGUCUGCAACCCGACCCCACGAAGCUGGAUUCGCUAGUAAUCGCGCAUCAGCCAUGGCGCGGUGAAUACGUUCCCG
Molecule: ribosomal RNA, 1018 nt
Filed under: uncultured bacterium
Lineage: Bacteria
Description: bacterial SSU rRNA
Rfam family: Bacterial small subunit ribosomal RNA
Source: RNAcentral